UGGGCCGCACGCGCGCUACACUGAUGAAGUCAGCGAGUUUAUAACCUUGGCCGGAAGGUCUGGGUAAACUUUUGAAACUUCAUCGUGCUGGGGAUAGAGCAUUGUAAUUAUUGCUCUUCAACGAGGAAUUCCUAGUAAGCGCAAGUCAUCAGCUUGCGUUGAUUACGUCCCUGCCCUUUGUACACACCGCCCGUCGCUACUACCGAUUGAAUGGUUAUAGUGAGCAUAUGGGAUCAGUAGGAUUAAACUGGCAACAGUUUUUCCCUGCAGAGAACUAUGGCAAACUAGGCUAUUUAGAGGAAGUAAAAGUCGUAACAAGGUUUCCGUAGGUGAACCUGCGGAAGGAUCAUUAAAUAAUUUGAGUAUGCUUAUGCAUAUUUCUAAUUUACUGUGAACUGUUUUACUGUUUAGCGUUUUGAGGGAUGCCUAGAGACUAUAGGGAUAGGUCUUUAGGAUGUUAACCUAGCUAAAGUCAGGCUUAGGCCUGGUAUCCUAAUUCAUUAUUUACCAAAAGAAUUCAGAAUUAAUAUUGUAACAUAAGCGUAAAAAACUUAUAAAACAACUUUUAACAACGGAUCUCUUGGUUCUCGCAUCGAUGAAGAACGUAGCAAAGUGCGAUAACUAGUGUGAAUUGCAUAUUCAGUGAAUCAUCGAGUCUUUGAACGCAUCUUGCGCUCAAUGGUAUUCCAUUGAGCACGCCUGUUUCAGUAUCAACAACAACCCACAUCCACAAUUUUGUUGUGAAUGGGAAUGAAAGUAUCCACGUUUAAAUUGAACUCUUUUAAACUAUUAGGCCCGGAACUAAUGGUUCUAUUAACCCUGAACAUUUUUUUUAAUAUAAAAGGAAUGCUCUAGUUUAAAAAACUAUCUUGGGGGGCCUCCCCAAAAAAAUCACUUUUUUAACUUGGAUCUGAAAUCAGGGGGGGAUUACCCCCUGAACUUAAGCCUUAUCAAUAAACCGGAGGGAAAAGAAAAUAACC
This 980-nucleotide ribosomal RNA is filed under the name Mucoraceae sp. LM264. RNAcentral describes it as "bacterial SSU rRNA". The stretch from base 1 to 352 matches the Rfam family "Eukaryotic small subunit ribosomal RNA", at positions 1483 to 1831 of the family's 1831-position model. The record is from RNAcentral. Lineage: Eukaryota; Fungi; Mucoromycota; Mucoromycetes; Mucorales; Mucoraceae.